Molecule: ribosomal RNA, 110 nt
Filed under: Klebsiella pneumoniae
Lineage: Bacteria; Pseudomonadati; Pseudomonadota; Gammaproteobacteria; Enterobacterales; Enterobacteriaceae
Also listed under: 1 other name
Description: partial 23S ribosomal RNA
Rfam family: Bacterial large subunit ribosomal RNA (bases 1-98)
Source: RNAcentral
UGAAGGAACGUUGAAGACGAUGACGUUGAUAGGCCGGGUGUGUAAGCGCAGCGAUGCGUUGAGCUAACCGGUACUAAUGAACCGUGAGGCUUAACCUUACAACGCCGAAG